RNAcentral lists this ribosomal RNA (459 nucleotides) under uncultured bacterium. RNAcentral describes it as "partial 16S ribosomal RNA". It matches the Rfam family "Bacterial small subunit ribosomal RNA", at positions 338 to 795 of the family's 1533-position model. The record is from RNAcentral.
CCUACGGGCGGCAGCAGUGAGGAAUAUUGGUCAAUGGCCGGAAGGCUGAACCAGCCAAGCCGCGUGAAGGACGACGGUGCCAAGCAUUGUAAACUUCUUUUGUCAAGGGACAAAAUCAGUCUCGAGAGCCUGAACGAGGGUACUUGAAGAAAAAGCAUCGGCUAACUCCGUGCCAGCAGCCGCGGUAAUACGGAGGAUGCGAGCGUUAUCCGGAUUUAUUGGGUUUAAAGGGUGCGUAGGCGGACUGUUAAGUCAGCGGUAAAAGCCCGGGGCUCAACCCCGGAGAGCCGUUGAAACUGGCGGUCUUGAGAUGUCGAGAGGUAUGCGGAAUGCGCAGUGUAGCGGUGAAAUGCUUAGAUAUUGCGCAGAACUCCGAUUGCGAAGGCAGCAUACCGGCGGCGAUCUGACGCUGAGGCACGAAAGCGUGGGUAUCGAACAGGAUUAGAUACCCUGGUAGUC